GACUACACCUACGAGCGGACGCUGAUGAUGGAGCAGCGCUCGCAGAUGCUGCGGCAGCUGCGCCGCGCCCAGGGAGGCCACGCCCUCUCGCAGCCGCCCAGCGCUGAGGAGGAGGAGGGGGAGGGGGGAGAGCCCCGGCGGGGACCCAGUCCGGGGAAUGUCCGGCGCAUGCACGCGGCCGAGCGCCUCAACGCCGCCAUCGCUGCCCACUCGGGGGGGGCGGGGCUG
Molecule: long non-coding RNA, 228 nt
Organism: Malurus melanocephalus (red-backed fairy wren)
Lineage: Eukaryota; Metazoa; Chordata; Aves; Passeriformes; Maluridae
Exons: 3
Source: RefSeq, a predicted model, not a curated record